UGUACAUUUUUGGGCGGAGGUCACUGGGU
RNAcentral lists this non-coding RNA (29 nucleotides) under Mus musculus (house mouse). Lineage: Eukaryota; Metazoa; Chordata; Mammalia; Rodentia; Muridae. The record is from RNAcentral.